ACAGAGACCUCAUGUAUUAUGAUUUUACAUAUCUAUGACAUCUACAAUUUGAAUAUCAAAUUCAUGAUGAAGGAAUGAGAUCUACAUAAAGGAGUAAAGAAAUAUCGAGGCAGCGAAAGGAAUACCAGACAGACGGAGACCUCAUGUAUAAUGAUUUUACAUAUCUAUGACAUCUACAAUUUGAAUAUCAAAUUCAUGAUGAAGGAAUGAGAUCUACAGAAAGGAGUAAAGAAAUAUCGAGGCAGCGAAAGGAAUAUCAGGAAAGUUAGUCUCUAAUGAGUACGCGGAUGGUUUGAAAGUAUUGGAUUCAGCGUCGGUCAGCCAGAUGAUGCUCUAGUCUCCUCCUCAGCACAUGCACAUAUAGUCAGCUGCGCUAAACUGUAUUCAUAAAGACUCAGAAAUUGAUGAUGUAAUAUAUUUGGGAUUCUAAAUUAUCCUUGAAAUUCAUGUAAUAUUUUCUAGAGUAUGUCAUGUUUCUUAGUAAAUAAGAUAAUAGAUCAUAAGGUAAGGGUGUUACAAUGUUUUUCUG
Long non-coding RNA from Daucus carota subsp. sativus, 529 nucleotides. RefSeq lists it as uncharacterized. The transcript is spliced from 3 exons. Lineage: Eukaryota; Viridiplantae; Streptophyta; Magnoliopsida; Apiales; Apiaceae. The record is from RefSeq and is a predicted model, not a curated record.